AGGACAUUAAGAAGUGUUGUUAUAUGAUGAUUGAUCUUGAGUGACGCAUUACCUAGCUUCAAAGCAAGAACAAGAGGCCACGCAAGAGAUCAAACUCGAGUGUCAUCUCCAGAAUUUCAUAUGAAGAAAUCUGUUGCGAGACAGCCAUAGCUAGAGAUGAUACUAGCACGAAUUGAUUAACAAAAAUACCGUUGCUAUUAUUUACAUAGAUCAGCCUGUUUCUGGAGAAAUCUGCAUAGCGGCGUCGCUAAACAUCGAAGGCUGUAGCUGCUCCAUCUAUUGGGAGUUCCAGGUUUUCUUCACUCGCUGGAUUCUCGUACCCUGACUGCGCAAAUGCAGUGUAUUGAGGCACUUUGAAAGUCCUAAACUUGUCACAGUAUGUCAAUACCAUAGUU
This 395-nucleotide long non-coding RNA is filed under the name Eucalyptus grandis. RNAcentral describes it as "long non-coding RNA (EGRA_LNC007727)". Lineage: Eukaryota; Viridiplantae; Streptophyta; Magnoliopsida; Myrtales; Myrtaceae. The record is from RNAcentral.